GCUACGGUAGUUUAUUACAAACACUAGCCUGUGGUACUAGAAACGGAAUAUUUACCUUCCUCAUAGC
RNAcentral lists this transfer RNA (67 nucleotides) under Furcifer balteatus. RNAcentral describes it as "tRNA-His". Lineage: Eukaryota; Metazoa; Chordata; Lepidosauria; Squamata; Chamaeleonidae. The record is from RNAcentral.